This is a non-coding RNA of Oncorhynchus mykiss (rainbow trout), 894 nucleotides long. NCBI's taxonomy places the organism in Eukaryota, Metazoa, Chordata, Actinopteri, Salmoniformes, Salmonidae. The record is from RefSeq and is a predicted model, not a curated record.
CGUCAACCACGAUUCCGCUGUUUGCACACAGGCAUCGGUUGAGUGCGCUUCCUCAUUGAACAACAACUUUACCAUUUAUUCUGAUGUGCGGUUGGAGUGGCACGAUAGGAGCCCGUCCACAUGCUGCCUGAGACCGUGAAGAUGACAGAUCCCUCCUCUUCGCGCUCGUCAGUUCACUGUGCGACAGUGUGUUAAAUGACUUUCACAGACGCGUCCUGAAGAAGAAGUGCUCAGGCAGGGCGACGGGGGCAUAAAGUUAGUGGUGUAGGGCUACUGUAGUAGGCUGGACAUAUUCGAGUUUGGCCAUAAUUUCAAACUAAAUAGGAUUUCAUGGUCGUUUGUAUUUCAUGUGUCAAGCCAAUCAAUUUCAGCCAAUCUAUUUACAUCCACGUAAAUAUUGCCCUUUCGACUAAUGGACUUACUGUCAAGCCAAACCAUCCCUUUUUAUUGCCUAACAAACUAUUUUAUUCUAUUUAUUCUAUUGAUGCCAUGCAGUGUCAUUCUAUUAUACAAUCUAUUCUAUUUUUUAUGUUCUAUUUUUAUUUUGUUCUAUUCAGGGGGUGGGCUGUGUAAGUAGAGAAGAGGCUCGGGGAGGUUUAUGGCUGGGCAGCCAUAAAUAAUCAUGACAGAAGCGAUGAGUGGAGGAUCAUGAGUCUUUCAAUUAUUCACACCAUUUCAUAAUUGGCAAAAUCACUGCCUGAACACCUGUGUGAGUUUACGAUCUAAAAUCUGCAUAUUCUAAUGAGGCCAACCUGUCAGGGUCUCACUGAUUAGUAAAGACAAUGGAACAAGAAAACAAUGGGGAUACUUAGGAAAAACAUUAUCACUGGUUUCUUGUACAACAAUGAUCAGAAUAUUCAACUUCAAUCUUUAAAACCAAGAGAGAGAGAGAGA